ACGCCCCUUAUGNANUAGUAAACCUGCUUUUGUCGGGGAAUAAAACUUUCUACGUGUANAGAGCUGAAGGNACCCGACNGAAUAAGCAUCGGCAUAACNUCCGUGCCAGCAGCCGCGGUAAUACGGAGGAUGCAAGCGUUAUCCGNAUUCAUUGNGUUUAAAGGNUGCNCAGGCGCAUUAAUAAGUCAGUGGUGAAAUUCANCGGCUCAACUGUUGACCUGCCAUUGAUACUGUUAGUC
Molecule: ribosomal RNA, 239 nt
Filed under: uncultured bacterium
Lineage: Bacteria
Description: partial 16S ribosomal RNA
Rfam family: Bacterial small subunit ribosomal RNA
Source: RNAcentral